AUGCGGAUGGCAAAUGACGCUGCUUUUGGUACAAAACAAAAAAUCUGAAGCAGAGUGGCGCUGCCGAUGCCGGCAGCGACGGCGACUGCGACGCAGCAGGUGGCAGCAAAGUCGGCGAUAAAGGACAAAAUACAAAAAGAACACAAACUAGAAAAGCUCAGAAAGCAACAAUUGAACGAAACGCAUAAUGCGUGCUCAAUGAACAAACAAAUUACGUGCAAUUUACAGUUGCAAUCAAGACAGAAGAAUAAUACAGAAGGGGCGAACAAGGUGGGCAGGAGGAGGUGGGAAGAAAUGAAAAUAAGCAAGUCCUGGCUUCAAACGUGGGCAGCAACAAUUACAAAAAGACUUUUGCCUACAUCUUACAACUUAAUGUGUGUG
This 381-nucleotide long non-coding RNA is filed under the name Drosophila melanogaster (fruit fly). RNAcentral describes it as "long non-coding RNA:CR43899 (Dmel_CR43899)". Lineage: Eukaryota; Metazoa; Arthropoda; Insecta; Diptera; Drosophilidae. The record is from RNAcentral.